CACGUAGGGUGCGAGCGUUGUCCGGAAUUAUUGGGCGUAAAGAGCUCGUAGGCGGUGUGUCGCGUCGGCCGUGAAAACCUGCAGCUUAACUGUGGGCUUGCGGUCGAUACGGGCAUCACUGGAGUUCGGCAGGGGAGACUGGAAUUCCUGGUGUAGCGGUGAAAUGCGCAGAUAUCAGGAAGAACACCAAUGGCGAAAGCAGCUUUCUGGGACGGUACUGACGCUGAGACGCGAAAGCGUGGGGAGCGAACAGG
This 254-nucleotide ribosomal RNA is filed under the name uncultured bacterium. RNAcentral describes it as "partial 16S ribosomal RNA". It matches the Rfam family "Bacterial small subunit ribosomal RNA", at positions 524 to 776 of the family's 1533-position model. The record is from RNAcentral.